RNAcentral lists this ribosomal RNA (459 nucleotides) under uncultured bacterium. RNAcentral describes it as "partial 16S ribosomal RNA". It matches the Rfam family "Bacterial small subunit ribosomal RNA", at positions 338 to 795 of the family's 1533-position model. The record is from RNAcentral.
CCUACGGGAGGCAGCAGUGAGGAAUAUUGGUCAAUGGGCGGGAGCCUGAACCAGCCAAGUCGCGUGAAGGAAGAAGGUACUUAGUAUUGUAAACUUCUUUUGUCGGGGAACAAAGGCGGAGACGCGUCUCCGGAUGAGUGUACCCGAAGAAAAAGCAUCGGCUAACUCCGUGCCAGCAGCCGCGGUAAUACGGAGGAUGUGAGCGUUAUCCGGAUUUAUUGGGUUUAAAGGGUGCGCAGGCGGGAGAUCAAGUCAGCGGUAAAAUGUCGGGGCUCAACCCCGGCCGGCCGUUGAAACUGGUUUUCUAGAGUUGGAGAGAAGUAUGUGGAAUUCGUGGUGUAGCGGUGAAAUACAUAGAUAUCACACAGAACACCGAUUGCGAAGGCAUCUCACGAAUCCGCGAUUGACGCUGAUGCACGAAAGCGUGGGUAUCAAACAGGAUUAGAUACCCUAGUAGUC